This 431-nucleotide ribosomal RNA is filed under the name uncultured bacterium. RNAcentral's name for it is "bacterial SSU rRNA". It matches the Rfam family "Bacterial small subunit ribosomal RNA", at positions 355 to 796 of the family's 1533-position model. The record is from RNAcentral.
UCGAGGAUCUUCGGCAAUGGGCGCAAGCCUGACCGAGCGACGCCGCGUGUGCGAUGAAGGCCUUCGGGUUGUAAAGCACUGUCGAGGGGGAGGAAGCCGCAAGGUUGACCUAUCCCUGGAGGAAGCACGGGCUAAGUUCGUGCCAGCAGCCGCGGUAAGACGAACCGUGCGAACGUUGUUCGGAAUCACUGGGCUUAAAGGGCGCGUAGGCGGGUUUUCAAGUCUGUGGUGAAAUCCUCCAGCUUAACUGGAGAAGUGCCGUGGAUACUGGGGACCUCGAGGUGGGUAGGGGCAUCUGGAACAGCCGGUGGAGCGGUGAAAUGCGUUGAUAUCGGCUGGAACUCCGAUGGCGAAGGCAAGGUGCUGGACCCUCUCUGACGCUGAGGCGCGAAAGCCAGGGGAGCGAACGGGAUUAGAUACCCCCGUAGUCC